This 1319-nucleotide ribosomal RNA is filed under the name Cheddikulama straminea. Its description in RNAcentral is "16S ribosomal RNA". The stretch from base 1073 to 1231 matches the Rfam family "Archaeal large subunit ribosomal RNA", at positions 2542 to 2701 of the family's 2987-position model. Lineage: Eukaryota; Metazoa; Arthropoda; Insecta; Mantodea; Toxoderidae. The record is from RNAcentral.
UAUUAAUAAAAUUGUUUUUAUGUAUUAUUGGUUAUAUUAUUAAGUUAUGUGAAUUAGAUUUAAGUUAGUGUAGAAUUAAUUGAUAAAAUUGUUUUUACUAUAGUUGAUUAGUACUGUGAGGGAAAUUUUAAAUAAUAAGUAUAAUUUGGUAAAGGUAAUUUUAUUAAUUGUAUCUUGUGUAUCAGAGUAUAUCAAAAUGAAUUUUUGAAUUAUUUAUUCUCGAAUUUAAAAGAUUUAAUUAGGAAGUUUAAUUGAUGUUUCAAAAUCAUUAAAAAUUCUUAAUUGGUAAUGAAAUGUUAAUCGUUUUUAAGGAUAUCUAGUUUUUUAAUAAAUGAAUUUAAUUCAGGAAAUAUAAGUUAUAUUUGUUUUUAUUUGCUUAUAUAUUUUAUAUUUCUAAUUUUUAAGGGGAUUAACUCUUGAAAAUAUAAUUAUAAUAUUUUAAUUUGUGAGGAUUUUAUAAAUUUAGAAUUUGUUAUUAAUUAAAGGAUGUUAAAAUUUAAUUCUUGUUAAAAGGGAUUUUAUUUAUAUUUAAUUUAUUUAUUAAAAUUGAAGGUGAAAUUUAAUUUCUUUAGAAAAUAUGAUUUAAUUAGUAAAUUAUUUAAUGUGUAAAUAUUAUAUUAAUAUUUAUUGAUAUUUUAAAAUAAGGAAUUAGGCAAAUAUUUUGCUCGCCUGUUUAUUAAAAACAUGGUUUCUUGAUAAUGAAUAAGAGAUCUGACCUGCCCACUGAAAAAUUUUGAAGGGCCGCAGUAUUUUGACUGUGCAAAGGUAGCAUAAUCAUUAGUCUUUUAAUUGAAGGCUGGAAUGAAUGGUUGGACGAGGUAAAUACUGUCUUAUUUUAAUAUAUAUUUGAAUUUAGAUUUUAAGUAAAAAAACUUAAAUGAAAUUAAGGGACGAGAAGACCCUAUAGAGUUUAAUAUAUAUAAUUUUAAUUGAGUUAAUAAUAAAUUUUUGAUUAUUAUGGAGUAUAUUUAAUUGGGGUGAUUAGAAGAUAUAAUUAACUCUUCUUUGUUUUAAAUAAUAUUAUUAGUUUUAUGAUCCAUAUAUAAUGAUUAGAAGAUUAAAUUACCUUAGGGAUAACAGCAUAAUCCUUUUAGAGAGUUCAAAUCGAAAAAAGGGAUUGUGACCUCGAUGUUGGAUUAAGAAUAAUUAUGGGUGUAGGUGUUCAAUAAUUAAGUCUGUUCGACUUUUAAAUUCUUACAUGAUCUGAGUUUAAACCGGCGUGAGCCAGGUUGGUUUCUAUCUUUAAUUUAAUUAAACAUUUUAGUACGAGAGGACCAGAUGUUUAAAAUAAUUUUUAUAAUUUGAAUAUUAUUAAUAGU